AUUGGACGCUGGCGGCAUGCUUUACACAUGCAAGUCGAACGGUAACAGGCCGCAAGGUGCUGACGAGUGGCGAACGGGUGAGUAAUGCAUCGGAACGUGCCCAGUCGUGGGGGAUAACUACUCGAAAGAGUAGCUAAUACCGCAUACGAUCUAUGGAUGAAAGCGGGGGACCGUAAGGCCUCGCGCGAUUGGAGCGGCCGAUGUCAGAUUAGGUAGUUGGUGGGGUAAAGGCUCACCAAGCCAACGAUCUGUAGCUGGUCUGAGAGGACGACCAGCCACACUGGGACUGAGACACGGCCCAGACUCCUACGGGAGGCAGCAGUGGGGAAUUUUGGACAAUGGGCGCAAGCCUGAUCCAGCAAUGCCGCGUGCAGGAAGAAGGCCUUCGGGUUGUAAACUGCUUUUGUACGGAACGAAACGGCUCUGGUUAAUACCCGGGGCUAAUGACGGUACCGUAAGAAUAAGCACCGGCUAACUACGUG
Molecule: ribosomal RNA, 482 nt
Filed under: uncultured bacterium
Lineage: Bacteria
Description: partial 16S ribosomal RNA
Rfam family: Bacterial small subunit ribosomal RNA
Source: RNAcentral